RNAcentral lists this ribosomal RNA (301 nucleotides) under Planctomycetaceae bacterium. Its description in RNAcentral is "bacterial LSU rRNA". It matches the Rfam family "Bacterial large subunit ribosomal RNA", at positions 2621 to 2925 of the family's 2925-position model. Lineage: Bacteria; Pseudomonadati; Planctomycetota; Planctomycetia; Planctomycetales; Planctomycetaceae. The record is from RNAcentral.
GUGAGACAGGUCGGUCCCUAUCUGCUGUGGGCGUUCGAAACUUGAGGGGGUUCAACUUUAGUACGAGAGGAUUUAGUUGGACGUAGCUCUGGUGUACCAGUUGUCGCGCUAGCGGCACGGCUGGAUAGCUAACUACGGAAAGGAUAAACGCUGAAAGCAUCUAAGCGUGAAGCCCUCCCCGAGAUUAGGUUUCGUAUGUCAUUUGACGAAAGCCCCCUGGAAGACUACCAGGUUGAUAGGCUAGACGUGUAAGCGGAGUAAUUCGUUGAGCAAACUAGUACUAACGGGCGAAUGAUUGGCC